This 241-nucleotide ribosomal RNA is filed under the name uncultured bacterium. RNAcentral's name for it is "partial small subunit ribosomal RNA". It matches the Rfam family "Bacterial small subunit ribosomal RNA", at positions 26 to 285 of the family's 1533-position model. The record is from RNAcentral.
AGAAUCAACGCUGGCGGCGUGCCUAACACAUGCAAGUCGAACGAGAAAGUGGAGCAAUCCAUGAGUAAAGUGGCGACCGGGUGAGUAACACGUGACUAACCUACCUUCGAGUGGGGAUAACCUCGGGAAACCGGGCUAAUACCGCAUAAUAUCCACGGAUCAAAGGAGCAAUUCGCUUGAAGAGGGGUCGCGGCUGAUUAGUUAGUUGGCGGGUAAUGGCCCACCAAGACAAUGAUCGGUA